RNAcentral lists this ribosomal RNA (253 nucleotides) under uncultured prokaryote. RNAcentral describes it as "partial 16S ribosomal RNA". It matches the Rfam family "Bacterial small subunit ribosomal RNA", at positions 525 to 777 of the family's 1533-position model. The record is from RNAcentral.
ACGGAGGGUGCAAGCGUUAUCCGGAUUCACUGGGUUUAAAGGGUGCGUAGGUGGGCAGGUAAGUCAGUGGUGAAAUCUCUGGGCUUAACCCAGAAACUGCCGUUGAUACUAUCUGUCUUGAAUGUAGUGGAGGUGAGCGGAAUAUGUCAUGUAGCGGUGAAAUGCUUAGAUAUGACAUAGAACACCAAUUGCGAAGGCAGCUCGCUACACUACUAUUGACACUGAGGCACGAAAGCGUGGGGAUCAAACAGGA